This 497-nucleotide ribosomal RNA is filed under the name uncultured bacterium. RNAcentral describes it as "partial 16S ribosomal RNA". It matches the Rfam family "Bacterial small subunit ribosomal RNA", at positions 28 to 507 of the family's 1533-position model. The record is from RNAcentral.
GAUGAACGCUGGCGGCGUGCCUAAUACAUGCAAGUCGAGCGAACAGACGAGGAGCUUGCUCCUUUGACGUUAGCGGCGGACGGGUGAGUAACACGUGGGUAACCUACCUAUAAGGCUGGAAUAACUUCGGGAAACCGGAGCUAAUACCGGAUAAUAUUUCGAACCGCAUGGUUCGAUAGUGAAAGAUGGCUUUGCUGUCACUUAUAGAUGGACCUGCGCCGUAUUAGCUAGUUGGUAAGGUAACGGCUUACCAAGGCAACGAUACGUAGCCGACCUGAGAGGGUGAUCGGCCACACUGGAACUGAGCCACGGUCCAGACUCCUACGGGCGGCAGCAGUAGGGAAUCUUCCGCAAUGGGCGAAAGCCUGACGGAGCAACGCCGCGUGAGUGAUGAAGGUCUUCGGAUCGUAAAACUCUGUUAUUAGGGAAGAACACAUGUGUAAGUAACUGUGCACGUCUUGACGGUACCUAAUCAGAAAGCCACGGCUAACUACGUG